GGGCAUGAGGCUGAUCUGGCUGUGACCGGCCACAUGCUGAUCACUAGGUGGGUUUGGCUGACAUAGCUGGGUUGGUAGGUGGCCCCUGCUUUCCCUCUUCAGUCCGUGCGUCCUUCCUGAAGCUUCUCCCCGUUGAAGACAACCUUCUCCAGCAAGGCUGCCCUGCUGUAGUGUGCAGAGAGCUGAGGGUUUCUUGGAAAUCUCCAAACAAGCUUUUAAGGUCCAAACCUGGACCUUGA
This 239-nucleotide small RNA is filed under the name Mus pahari (shrew mouse). RNAcentral describes it as "sRNA (MGP_PahariEiJ_G0008360.1)". The record is from RNAcentral. Lineage: Eukaryota; Metazoa; Chordata; Mammalia; Rodentia; Muridae.